RNAcentral lists this ribosomal RNA (1830 nucleotides) under Haliclystus sanjuanensis. RNAcentral describes it as "large subunit ribosomal RNA". It matches the Rfam family "Bacterial large subunit ribosomal RNA". The record is from RNAcentral. Lineage: Eukaryota; Metazoa; Cnidaria; Staurozoa; Stauromedusae; Haliclystidae.
CCUAUAAAAUUCUGGUCUUUGCCCUUAAAGCUCCUUACAAAGAAGAAGGCUCUUACUGCUCAAAAGCUUUUUUUUGAUCAAUUAAAACAUUUUAUUACCUUAAAGUAAAGAAAUCCAUCGAGAUUAUGCAAGUAGUGGCGAACGAAAGCAACCCUGGGCCAAAGUACNCUUAAGAAAAGAACCCCUUCUAACCCUUAAAUAGGCAAGACACAGAUAGUGAACAGUACCGUGAGGGAAAAAUGAAAGAAUUUGAAAACAACAGUAGGUUAGUUUUCUGUUAUUAAAAACGUACCUUUUGCAUAAUGGGCCUNCCAGUGAUCAUUUGGCAAACUGAAAGUCAAGUCAAAUUCCCCGAAACCAAGUGAUCUAACCCUUUCCCAGAUUUUAAGUCUUUACCGGUGGCUGUGGCAACAUCCUCGGGAGAGGAAGGGUUAGCGGUGAAAUACCAAUCGAACUUGGCACUAGCUGGUUUUCCACGAAAGGCAUUUAAGUGCCGGAGGUUUAUUAUUUAGGCUUGUCUUCUUCGACAAACCCCCCUAAUUAUAGCCCUACUGAGCCCUUAGGCGAUAAGGUCUAAGGACCAAAGGGAAACACCCCUAAACUCUAGUAAAAGACAUAAAAUCCCCCUAACGUCCACAGAGACCCCCUAAUAAACUGGUUUUAAGUAGGCUUGGAAGCAGCCACCUUAGAAUGAAGGCGUAAUAGCCCCUAACCCGAUAGGUUUUCUCUAAAAUCCAGNUGGCUUUUAAUCUUAAGCUGAGUUUAAUGUAGUGGAACAUGNUGUUCUAAUCCACCACGCAAGUAAAACAGCAGCGCUAAUGCNGGCAUGAGUAACAAUCUCUUUCGGGGUUUUGNAAGCCAACCCCUAAGCUAACAGCAAUGGGAUCUAAAGGAAUUCACAGGAAGCCCCCUUUAGUUGAAUUGUACAGAACACCAUGAAAGUAAUCCCUGAUUUAUUUUUCUUAAGGAACUCGGCAAACAGGCUCUUUAGAGCCCUUGAACAUCGACUGUUUACCAAAAACAUAGCCCCUAGACCCCUAUUAGAGGUGACGCCUGCCCGAUGGUUUAUCCUAAGUUAAUUAACAUUAACGAACCUGAACUCAAUGGCCGCGGUAUUUCUGACCGUGAUAAUGUAGCGAAAUCAAUCGUCACUUAAUUGCUGACCUGUAUCAAAGGUAUUACGAAUGUUCCCCUGUCUCAAGAAAAAUCCCUGUGAAAUUGAAGGGGCCGUGCAUAUGCGGCCUAUUUUCCUGUAAGACGAAAAGACCCUAUUGAGCUUUACUAUAACCUUUCCUCAAAACACUAAGAAAAUGAGUAAACCUCUAAUCUUAGUACUAGGAAAGGCUGGUAGUUUCGUUGGGGCGACGACCUUUCAAAAAGUAACAAAGGUUAGCGAUGGUUUUCUAUUUAAUGAAUCUUAGCCUGACUGUUUGGCUUAUAAGCCUACCAGACACUUUCGUGAGCCAUAAUUUUCCAUUUUAGGGGCAACCCUAAAAUGCCAUAAUAUAAAAGUUACCAUAGGGAUAACAGCGUAAUUUUGUCGAAGAGCUCUUAUCGAUGACAAAGAUUGCGACCUCGAUGUUGAAUUGUGGUAUCCUGGGGGUGUAGCCGCUCCCAAGGGUUGGUCUGUUCGACCAUUAAAACCGUACAUGAUUUGAGUUCAUUCCGCCGUCAGGCAGGAAGGUUUCUAUCUACAGGCCCCUCUCUCAGGGCAAUCCCCCCUAGUACGAAAGGACCGGGUGGAUCUUCCCUCUGCUUACCUCAGGUAAGGAAGUUAACCUACCCUUGGCUGCCGCUAAAGGAGCAUUUAACCCCUGAGACCCUAUCCCU